CUCUGUUCGUUGGAGACAUGGCUGUGUGUGGUGUCGUAGCUGAACAACACGGAGGAAAUGUGAUCUCAUUGCUGAAUGAGUUGGAGGAAAGUAUCCUGCAGUUUGUGCUUGCCUCCAUAACAUGAUGUGCUGAGGACCUCAGGCAAGCUGGGUCUCCUCAAUUCCCUCAUCUUCAGCACGGAUGGAGCACCUUGU
Molecule: long non-coding RNA, 195 nt
Organism: Etheostoma cragini (Arkansas darter)
Lineage: Eukaryota; Metazoa; Chordata; Actinopteri; Perciformes; Percidae
Exons: 4
Source: RefSeq, a predicted model, not a curated record